CCUACGGGUGGCAGCAGUGGGGAAUAUUGCGCAAUGGGCGAAAGCCUGACGCAGCGACGCCGCGUGAGGGAUGAAGGUCUUCGGAUCGUAAACCUCUGUCAGCAGGGAAGAACGGUCACUGUGCUAAUCAGCAGUGAAUUGACGGUACCUGCAAAGGAAGCACCGGCUAACUCCGUGCCAGCAGCCGCGGUAAUACGGAGGGUGCUAGCGUUAAUCGGAAUUACUGGGCGUAAAGCGCUCGUAGGCGGUAUGUCAAGGCAAGGGGGAAAUCCCCGCGCGCAACGUGGGAACUGCCUUUGAAACUGGCAAACUGGAGUGUGUGAGAGGAUAGUGGAAUUCCAGGUGUAGGAGUGAAAUCCGUAGAUAUCUGGAGGAACAUCAGUGGCGAAGGCGACUAUCUGGCACAUAACUGACGCUGAGGAGCGAAAGCGUGGGUAGCAAACAGGAUUAGAUACCCCUGUAGUC
RNAcentral lists this ribosomal RNA (465 nucleotides) under uncultured bacterium. RNAcentral describes it as "partial 16S ribosomal RNA". It matches the Rfam family "Bacterial small subunit ribosomal RNA", at positions 338 to 795 of the family's 1533-position model. The record is from RNAcentral.